CUCCACUUGCGAAUCGUUCAGAUG
Molecule: non-coding RNA, 24 nt
Filed under: Arabidopsis thaliana (thale cress)
Lineage: Eukaryota; Viridiplantae; Streptophyta; Magnoliopsida; Brassicales; Brassicaceae
Source: RNAcentral